CCUACGGGAGGCAGCAGUGAGGAAUAUUGGUCAAUGGCCGAAAGGCUGAACCAGCCAAGCCGCGUGAGGGAAGACGGCCCUACGGGUUGUAAACCCCUUUUGCCGGGGAGCAAGGCGAACCACGUGUGGUUCAUUGAGAGUACCCGAAGAAAAAGCAUCGGCAAACUCCGUGCCAGCAGCCGCGGUAAGACGGAGGAGGCGACCGUUAUCCGGAUUUAUUGGGGUUAAAGGGUGCGCAGGCGGAGGUGCAAGUCAGCGGUAAAAUGGCGGGGCUGAACCCCGUACUGCCGUUGAAACUGCAUCCCUUGAGUGCGCGAGAAGUAUGCGGAAUGCGUGGUGUAGCGGUGAAAUGCAUAGAUAUCACGCAGAACUCCGAUUGCGAAGGCAGCAAACCGGCGCGCAACUGACGCUCAUGCACGAAAGCGUGGGUAUCGAACAGGAUUAGAUACCCUUGUAGUC
RNAcentral lists this ribosomal RNA (459 nucleotides) under uncultured bacterium. RNAcentral's name for it is "partial 16S ribosomal RNA". It matches the Rfam family "Bacterial small subunit ribosomal RNA", at positions 338 to 795 of the family's 1533-position model. The record is from RNAcentral.